UACAGAGGUCCCAAGCGUUAUUCGGAUUCACUGGGCGUAAAGGGUGCGCAGGCGGUUGGGUGUGUCAGAUGUGAAAUCCCGAGGCUUAACCUCGGAACUGCGUCUGAAACUACUCGACUAGAGUACUGGAGAGGGUAACGGAAUUCACGGUGUAGCAGUGAAAUGCGUAGAUAUCGUGAGGAACACCAGAGGCGAAGGCGGUUACCUGGACAGUUACUGACGCUCAGGCACGAAAGCAUGGGGAGCAAACGGG
This 253-nucleotide ribosomal RNA is filed under the name uncultured bacterium. RNAcentral's name for it is "partial 16S ribosomal RNA". It matches the Rfam family "Bacterial small subunit ribosomal RNA", at positions 524 to 776 of the family's 1533-position model. The record is from RNAcentral.